Molecule: ribosomal RNA, 688 nt
Filed under: uncultured bacterium
Lineage: Bacteria
Description: bacterial SSU rRNA
Rfam family: Bacterial small subunit ribosomal RNA
Source: RNAcentral
GGGCAUGCGUCUGAUUAGUUAGUUGGUAGUGUAAUGGACUACCAAGGCGAUGAUCAGUAGGGGAACUGAGAGGUUGAUCCCCCACACUGGCACUGAGAUACGGGCCAGACUCCUACGGGAGGCAGCAGUAGGGAAUAUUGGUCAAUGGAUGCAAGUCUGAACCAGCCAUGCCGCGUGCAGGAAGAAGGCCUUCUGGGUUGUAAACUGCUUUUGCCAGGGGAUAAAAUUCUCUUGCGAGGGAAAUUGAAGGUACCUGGUGAAUAAGCCACGGCUAACUACGUGCCAGCAGCCGCGGUAAUACGUAGGUGGCAAGCGUUGUCCGGGUUUAUUGGGUUUAAAGGGUGCGUAGGCGGCCCUGUAAGUCAGUGCUGAAAUAUCCCGGCUUAACCGGGGGGGUGGCAUUGAUACUGCAGGGCUUGAGUGAACUCGAAGUAGGCGGAAUUGACGGUGUAGCGGUGAAAUGCUUAGAUAUCGUCAAGAACACCGAUAGUGAAGACAGCUUACUAGGUUUCAACUGACGCUGAGGCACGAAAGUGUGGGGAUCAAACAGGAUUAGAUACCCUGGUAGUCCACACUGUAAACGUUGAUUACUCGCUGUUGGCGAUACACAGCCAGCGGCCAAGCGCAAGCGAUAAGUAAUCCACCUGGGGAGUACGCCGGCAACGGUGAAACUCAAAGGAAUUGACGG